Molecule: unclassified non-coding RNA, 307 nt
Filed under: soil metagenome
Also listed under: 1 other name
Description: partial contains 5.8S ribosomal RNA, internal transcribed spacer 2, and large subunit ribosomal RNA
Rfam family: 5.8S ribosomal RNA (bases 1-105)
Source: RNAcentral
GAAAUGCGAUAAGUAAUGUGAAUUGCAGAAUUCAGUGAAUCAUCGAAUCUUUGAACGCACAUUGCGCCCGCCAGUAUUCUGGCGGGCAUGCCUGUUCGAGCGUCAUUUCAACCAUCAAGCCCCGGCGCUUGUGUUGGGGACCCGCGGCUGCCGCGGGCCCUUAAAGACAGUGGCGGUCCUCGCUGCAGCACCGAGCGUAGUAGCUAUACACCUCGCCCUGGGAGCUGCGCGUGUCGACCACGCCGUAAAACCCCCCACCUCUCACAAGGUUGACCUCGGAUCAGGUAGGAAUACCCGCUGAACUUAA